RNAcentral lists this ribosomal RNA (497 nucleotides) under uncultured bacterium. RNAcentral's name for it is "partial 16S ribosomal RNA". It matches the Rfam family "Bacterial small subunit ribosomal RNA", at positions 28 to 507 of the family's 1533-position model. The record is from RNAcentral.
GAUGAACGCUGGCGGCGUGCCUAAUACAUGCAAGUCGAGCGAACGGACGAGAAGCUUGCUUCUCUGAUGUUAGCGGCGGACGGGUGAGUAACACGUGGAUAACCUACCUAUAAGACUGGGAUAACUUCGGGAAACCGGAGCUAAUACCGGAUGAUAUUUUGAACCGCAUGGUUCAAAAGUGAAAGACGGUUUUGCUGUCACUUAUAGAUGGAUCCGCGCCGCAUUAGCUAGUUGGUAAGGUAACGGCUUACCAAGGCAACGAUGCAUAGCCGACCUGAGAGGGUGAUCGGCCACACUGGAACUGAGACACGGUCCAGACUCCUACGGGAGGCAGCAGUAGGGAAUCUUCCGCAAUGGGCGAAAGCCUGACGGAGCAACGCCGCGUGAGUGAUGAAGGUCUUCGGAUCGUAAAACUCUGUUAUUAGGGAAGAACAAAUGUGUAAGUAACUGUGCACGUCUUGACGGUACCUAAUCAGAAAGCCACGGCUAACUACGUG